UGAACGCUGGCGGUAGGCCUAACACAUGCAGGUCGACCGGCAGCACAGUAAGAGCUUGCUCUUACGGGUGGCGAGUGGCGGACGGGUGAGGAAUACAUCGGAAUCUACUUUUUCGUGGGGGAUAACGUAGGGAAACUUACGCUAAUACCGCAUACGACCUACGGGUGAAAGCAGGGGAUCUUCGGACCUUGCGCGAUUGAAUGAGCCGAUGUCGGAUUAGCUAGUUGGCGGGGUAAAGGCCCACCAAGGCGACGAUCCGUAGCUGGUCUGAGAGGAUGAUCAGCCACACUGGAACUGAGACACGGUCCAGACUCCUACGGGAGGCAGCAGUGGGGAAUAUUGGACAAUGGGCGCAAGCCUGAUCCAGCCAUACCGCGUGGGUGAAGAAGGCCUUCGGGUUGUAAAGCCCUUUUGUUGGGAAAGAAAAGCAGCAGGUUAAUACCCCGCUGUUCUGACGGUACCCAAAGAAUAAGCACCGGCUAACUUCGUG
This 490-nucleotide ribosomal RNA is filed under the name uncultured bacterium. RNAcentral's name for it is "partial 16S ribosomal RNA". It matches the Rfam family "Bacterial small subunit ribosomal RNA", at positions 30 to 507 of the family's 1533-position model. The record is from RNAcentral.